AGAGUUUGAUCCUGGCUCAGAAUCAACGCUGGCGGCGUGCCUAACACAUGCAAGUCGAACGCGAAAGCCCCGCAAGGGGUGAGUAGAGUGGCAAACGGGUGAGUAACACGUGGGUGACCUGCCUCUGAGUGGGGGAUAACGUCCCGAAAGGGACGCUAAUACCGCAUGACAUCCUGCGUUUGGAGACGCGUGGAUUAAAGCCGGGGAUCGCAAGACCUGGCGCUUGAAGAGGGGCCCGCGGCCGAUUAGCUAGUUGGUGAGGUAACGGCUCACCAAGGCGACGAUCGGUAUCCGGCCUGAGAGGGCGGACGGACACACUGGGACUGAGACACGGCCCAGACUCCUACGGGAGGCAGCAGUGGGGAAUUGUUCGCAAUGGGCGCAAGCCUGACGACGCAACGCCGCGUGGAGGACGAAGAUUUUCGGAUCGUAAACUCCUGUCGACCGGGAAGAACGUUUCGGGGGUGAAUACCCUCCGGAAGUGACGGUACCGGUAGAGGAAGCCCCGGCUAACUCCGUGCCAGCAGCCGCGGUAAUACGGGGGGGGCAAGCGUUGUUCGGAAUUACUGGGCGUAAAGGGCUCGUAGGUGGCCAACUAAGUCCGACGUGAAAUCCCCAGGCUUAACCUGGGAACUGCGUCGGAUACUGGAUGGCUUGAAUCCGGGAGAGGGAUGCGGAAUUCCAGGUGUAGCGGUGAAAUGCGUAGAUAUCUGGAGGAACACCGGUGGCGAAGGCGGCAUCCUGGACCGGUAUUGACACUGAGGAGCGAAAGCCAGGGGAGCAAACGGGAUUAGAUACCCCGGUAGUCCUGGCCCUAAACGAUGAAUGCUUGGUGUGGCGGGUAUCGAUCCCUGCCGUGCCGAAGCUAACGCAUUAAGCAUUCCGCCUGGGGGGUACGGUCGCAAGGCUGAACUCAAAGGAAUUGACGG
RNAcentral lists this ribosomal RNA (929 nucleotides) under uncultured bacterium. RNAcentral's name for it is "bacterial SSU rRNA". It matches the Rfam family "Bacterial small subunit ribosomal RNA", at positions 8 to 916 of the family's 1533-position model. The record is from RNAcentral.